Molecule: ribosomal RNA, 437 nt
Filed under: uncultured bacterium
Lineage: Bacteria
Description: SSU rRNA
Rfam family: Bacterial small subunit ribosomal RNA
Source: RNAcentral
AGAGCGAACGCUGGCGGCAGGCCUAACACAUGCAAGUCGAGCGCCCCGCAAGGGGAGCGGCAGACGGGAGAGUAACACGUGGGAACGUACCCUUCAGUUCGGAACAACCCAGGGAAACUUGGGCUAAUACCGAAUACGUCCGUAAGGAGAAAGAUUUAUCGCUGAAGGAUCGGCCCGCGUCUGAUUAGCUUGUUGGUGAGGUAAUGGCUCACCAAGGCUACGAUCAGUAGCUGGUCUGAGAGGAUGAUCAGCCUCACUGGGACUGAGACACGGCCCAGACUCCUACGGGAGGCAGCAGUGGGAAUAUGGACAAUGGGCGCAAGCCUGAUCCAGCCAUGCCGCGUGGGUGAUGAAGGCCCUAGGGUUGUAAAGCCCUUUCGGCGGGAAGAUAAUGACGGUACCGCAGAAGAGCCCGGCUAACUCGCGCCAGCAGCCGC